RNAcentral lists this non-coding RNA (26 nucleotides) under Homo sapiens (human). The record is from RNAcentral. Lineage: Eukaryota; Metazoa; Chordata; Mammalia; Primates; Hominidae.
UUGGUCCAGCCAUUUGAUUCCAGUGG